Molecule: ribosomal RNA, 425 nt
Filed under: uncultured Acholeplasma sp.
Lineage: Bacteria; Bacillati; Mycoplasmatota; Mollicutes; Acholeplasmatales; Acholeplasmataceae
Description: bacterial SSU rRNA
Rfam family: Bacterial small subunit ribosomal RNA
Source: RNAcentral
CGAUGAUACGCGAAGAACCUUACCAGGUCUUGACAUCCCCCGCGAUGCUUUAGAGAUAAAGCGGAGGUAUUCGGGGAGACAGGUGGUGCAUGGUUGUCGUCAGCUCGUGUCGUGAGAUGUUGGGUUAAGUCCCGCAACGAGCGCAACCCCUAUUGCUAGUUACCAUCAUUAAGUUGGGGACUCUAGCGAGACUGCCAGUGAUAAACUGGAGGAAGGUGGGGAUGACGUCAAAUCAUCAUGCCCCUUAUGACCUGGGCUACAAACGUGAUACAAUGGCUGGAACAAAGGGAUGCGAAGCAGUGAUGUGGAGCGAAACCCAUAAAAACAGUCUCAGUUCGGAUUGAAGUCUGCAACUCGACUUCAUGAAGUCGGAAUCGCUAGUAAUCGCGGAUCAGAACGCCGCGGUGAAUACGUUCUCGGGGUUU